UUGUUUUUUUACUUUAUUAUUUAUUUUGAUUAGAGGAACAAAAGGGCUAUUCUGCACUUUAUUUUCUUAUACUUUUUUACUGCAUGCACAUAGGUAUUUUAUUUUAAUUUGAACUUCAGUUCAGAUUUCAUACUGUGAAAAACUACUUUGCACUUUAUUUCAGUUUUCAGCUCAGUGUUUCAGCUGUAAGAAAUAAAACAAAUAUUGUUAAUGUUUCAUUCAUUGAAAUAAAAAAUAGCUGUUAUGAAUGAAAUGGUUUUGACUCAAUUUGUCCUCUGAUCAAUAUAAUCUGAAAUACAUAAACUCUUUAAAUCGCAAUAUCGUGAUAUGUAUCGUAUCGUGACCCAAGUAUCGGGAUACGUAUCGUAUCGUGAGGUUCAUGCCAAUACCCACCCCUACCGUGAACCGUUGCACCACUACUAAACUCUAACCUAGCUAGCCUGGCUCGCUCUCGCGCAUCUGUGUUCGCGCUCGUGCAUGAUUGUGCGUUCGUGUACUUGGAAUGGGUCAGAGUCAGCGUUGAAGGAGAGGGGGUAGGACCAUUUGAGUUGUGUAUUUUCAAAAUCUGCUGGCGUUUCGCAAAUCCCAUACCCAACCAUUAAUUAUUGAAAGUCUACUUUUGCCACCCGUGAAGUUAACACACAAUAAAGUGUGCUUACUGAUGAUCAUUCAAAUUUGAAAAGAUCAUAUAGGUUGAAAAAGACCAAGGGUUCUGGUUGAAAAUAAUAGUUUUUUAAGGCAUUAUUUCUUUUAUAAAAUGUCUGGAUUCUCGACUCUCACUGUAUUACUGCCUGAACUCAUUUCUGUUUUCAAGUGUUUUUUCAUUUGUCUAAAUCCUUGAUUGUCACUUAAAGACAAGUAAACAAUUGCUCAAACACUAAUUGUAAUACUACGUUAGAUUACUUCUGUGUUACACUGAGCAAUAUUCAAACAUGCAGAAUGAAAACAGUACCUCUGCAAAUCAAACAGAUGAAUGCCUGUUUGAAUUCAGGCCAAACUGGUGACGAACCACGGCUGACGGUCACCGAGUCAGUUAUUUUCUUAGCCACUUCAUCCAGCCCUUGGGAUGCCUCCAGCAGUUCCUCCACAUUGUCCCUCAGCCUUUGGACAUGGUCAUUUCUGUUACCUGUUACUUGAUCGUCGUCGACGCCAUUGCCGGUAUGCGGUACUCUCAAUAGCAUGGAUUUUCCGUGAAUUCUGCCUCCAGUACAAAGACCCUUCGAGAGAGAAAUGCAGAAUAAAGACACAGAGAGAAUAACAAGAGUAAACACUGUUAUACAUGUAGCAGGUAGGACGGUAGUGAUGGGUAAUGCACCUUGGCCCCUCCCACUGGCAAUAAUCUAGAUCAGGUGGCACAUGUGACACGUCUUAAAAGAGGUGCGAACUCAGUAUUGGUGAAAAGACGGUGGAAG
RNAcentral lists this long non-coding RNA (1412 nucleotides) under Gadus morhua (Atlantic cod). Its description in RNAcentral is "lncRNA (ENSGMOG00000026026.1)". Lineage: Eukaryota; Metazoa; Chordata; Actinopteri; Gadiformes; Gadidae. The record is from RNAcentral.